RNAcentral lists this non-coding RNA (27 nucleotides) under Callithrix jacchus (white-tufted-ear marmoset). The record is from RNAcentral. Lineage: Eukaryota; Metazoa; Chordata; Mammalia; Primates; Cebidae. RNAcentral also lists the same sequence under 6 other names.
UGCUUCUGGGUCGGGGUUUCGUACGUA